UUGGAGGGCAAGUCUGGUGCCAGCAGCCGCGGUAAUUCCAGCUCCAAUAGCGUAUAUUAAAGUUGUUGCAGUUAAAAAGCUCGUAGUUGAACUUCGGGAUCAAUGAGUUGGUCGUGCCCUUGGUAUGAACUGGCUUUAUUGGUUCUCACCUUCUAAUGAACCAUAAUGUCAUUCAUUUGAUGUUUUGGGGAAUUAGGACUGUUACCUUGAAAAAAUUAGAGUGUUUAAAGCAGGCUAACGCUUGAAUACAUUAGCAUGGAAUAAUGAAAUAGGACGUUCGAUCCUAUUUUGUUGGUUUCUAGGAUUGACGUAAUGAUUAAUAGGGAUAGUUGGGGGCAUUAGUAUUCAAUUGUCAGAGGUGAAAUUCUUGGAUUUAUUGAAGACUAACUACUGCGAAAGCAUUUGCCAAGGAUGUUUUCAUUAAUCAAGAACGAAAGUUAGGGGAUCGAAGACGAUCAGAUACCGUCGUAGUCUUAACCAUAAACUAUGCCGACUAGGGAUCGGAUGAUGUUAAUUUUUUAAUGACUCAUUCGGCGCCUUACGGGAAAC
RNAcentral lists this ribosomal RNA (549 nucleotides) under uncultured Glomus. RNAcentral's name for it is "SSU rRNA". It matches the Rfam family "Eukaryotic small subunit ribosomal RNA", at positions 548 to 1098 of the family's 1831-position model. Lineage: Eukaryota; Fungi; Glomeromycota; Glomeromycetes; Glomerales; Glomeraceae. The record is from RNAcentral.